Molecule: ribosomal RNA, 253 nt
Filed under: uncultured bacterium
Lineage: Bacteria
Description: partial 16S ribosomal RNA
Rfam family: Bacterial small subunit ribosomal RNA
Source: RNAcentral
UACAGAGGGGGCAAGCGUUGUUCGGAAUUACUGGGCGUAAAGGGCGCGUAGGCGGCCUUCUAAGUCGAACGUGAAAUCCCCGGGCUCAACCCGGGAACUGCGUCCGAUACUGGAAGGCUUGAAUCCGGGAGAGGGAUGCGGAAUUCCAGGUGUAGCGGUGAAAUGCGUAGAUAUCUGGAGGAACACCGGUGGCGAAGGCGGCAUCCUGGACCGGCAUUGACGCUGAGGCGCGAAAGCCAGGGGAGCAAGCGGG